AUUUAGUUGUUAUUUAUCUUGGUGUGGAUUCCUUUGGGUUUAUUCUGUUUAGGUUUUGCUCAGCUUCUUAAAUCUGUAGGUUUAUGCCUCUUAAACCAUAUUUGGGGAGCUUUCAAGACACCCGCCACCACACCUGGCUAAUUUUUUGUAUUUUUAGUAGAGACGGGGUUUCACCGUGUUAGCCAGGAUGGUCUCCAUCUCCUGACCUUGUGAUCAGCCCGCCUCGGCCUCCCAAAGUGUGGGAUUACAGGUGUGAGCCACUGUGUCCGGCCUACCCACUAGACCUCCUCUGACACUUCCCCAGUGGGGAAGGGAAGGGUGGUCUUGUUACUGCCAUGUGGGGCAAAUCCAGGCUAUUCUUGUGUUCUCCUGACACCAUGGGAGUGGAGGCGCUCAUUAGACAGGGGAGUCAUCUGAGAACCUCAUUUAUGCUAUUUAGGAAAGUCGGCUUCUCUCCCUCCUUCCCCUGUACUUAGCAACCAUCUUCCAGCAACCUACCCCAUAAUCAUGAACAGGAGACUACGACAAAUAAAACAGGCAGAGCCGCAGAGCGCCUACCUGCCGCACCUAGUAACCGCAGAGCGCCUACCUGCCGCACCUAGUAACCGCAGAGCGCCUACCUGCCGCACCUAGUAACCGCAGCGCGCCUACCUGCCGCACCUAGUCCGCACCUAGUAACCGCAGCGCGCCUACCUGCCGCACCUAGUAACCGCAGCGCGCCUACCUGCCGCACCUAGUAACCGCAGCGCGCCUACCUGCCGCACCUAGUAACCGCAGCGCGCCUACCUGCCGCACCUAGUAACCGCAGCGCGCCUACCUGCCGCACACCUAGUAACCGCAGCGCGCCUACCUGCCGCACCUACCGCAGCGCGCCUACCUGCCGCACCUCGGAACCGCAGCGCGCCUACCUGCCGCACCUCGGAACCGCAGCGCGCCUACCUGCCGUAGCCAAACAUUAUCUGAAGAAGAUAGCAAAUAAACCUAGAGAAAAGCUGAAGGAAUGUUUGGAUGUUAUUCUAUGUGAUUCUGCAUUGUUUGAAUCUUUGGGGGUUUUUUUGGUUUUCUUUUUGAGACGGUCUUACUCUGUCACCCAGGCUGGAGUGCAGUGACACAAUCUGGGCUCACUACAAGCCAGGCUGGUCUUGAACUCCUGACCUCAAGCGAUCUGCUCGCCUCGGCCUCCUAGAGUGCUGUCAUGACGGCGCUCAGAUUUUAUUUUACUUUUUAAUGUUUCAUGACACCCAUUCUAAUGUUGAUCAUUUCUUCUCAGCCACAGAACAGCCUGGUUCACUGCACAGUUCCCAGGGACUUGGGAUGGGUCCCUUAUUCCAGUGCAGCCAGUCAUGGUAAUGCAGUGCACCAGCCCUCAGGGCUCACCAGCCAACCUCAAGUACUCUAGGAAAUACACCCACCAUGCCAUUCAGCUCCUUGCCACCAACAGGUAAAUGGGUCUUCGAUAGUCACAAGCUUGUCUUUUUUUAUUUUUCAGAAAAUACAGCAACCAACACCCAAUCUCUGAUAAAUGGGAAGUUAUCUGCUUAUUUGCUUUUACCUUGCUUGCUACUUUUUGAAGGUAAGAAAUCAGUAUCAUCUCAGGUAGAGGAAGCUUUCAGAACCACAGAGCUUAGUUACAUUUUCUUUCAAAAGGCCAAAUUCUCCAAAAACGUCCUAUGCGGAUCACUUGAGGCCAGGAGUUCGAGACCAGCCUGGCUAACAUGGUAAAACCCUGUCUCUACUAAAUAAUACAAAAAUUAGCCAGGCGUGGUGGCGCAUGCCUUUAGCCCCAGCUACUAGGGAGGCUGAGGCAGGAGAAUCACUUGAACCCUGGAGACAGACGUUGCAGUGAGCUGAGAUCAUGCCACUGGAAGAUCACGAGGUCAGGAGAUUGAGACCAUCCUGGCUAACACGGUGAAACCCCGUCUCUACUAAAAAUACAAAAAAAAAAAAAAAAAAGCUGGGCAUAGUGGCGUGCGCCUGUAAUCCCAGCUACUGCUCCCAAAGAUGAUCCUGCCAGGUACUAAGCUAGUAAAUGAACACGCUGAGUUUCUCCUUGCAAAUUUAAAUAAGUCUUCUGCUUGCUUUUAUCAUCAAAAAGUCCUAACUCUAUACCAAAAUAUGAGUUUUCUAAUUUGCCAUACCAUGGGCAGAAAGCACUGAUUCAAGAACACAGAUUUCCAAGUAGAGAGGUGCAGGGUAAAUAAACCUCCAUGUAAGCCCUCAGAGACUGUCACAGGGGUUCCUUGCUAGGAUUCCAAGGACCCCAGUUUCAGCAGCUUCACGAACACCCUGAAUUGCACACAGAUGGCGUGUGUGUGCACAUCCUAUAUUUCUUACACCUUUCAGUAGAGAGGGUCCCUAGUCAAAUUCAGCUCAGCAUGAAUGUCAUUGAGCCCAUGCCCCGUACCAAGGCCCAGGCUAGCGAGUGUAAGGAGUACAAAAACAAGUGGGUGUGGUCGCUGCCCUUGGGACUCACAUUCUAGUGGAGAAGUCAAACAGACCAUCAUGUCAGCAGAUCGGUGGGAAAUCUGGUGGGACUGGAGUCUCUGGAGUGGAGACAGGGAGGAAACAGUGAACCAUUUCAACCAUUUUUACAGUGGCAUUAUCUAACAUUCACAGUGUUAUGCAACCAUCACCACCAUCUAUCUAUAUAACUGUUUUAAUCUUGCAAAACUAAAACUCUGUAUCCAUUAAACACCAACUCCCCAGCUCCCCUCCCAGCCCCGGACAACCACCAUUCUACUCUCUGUUUCUGUGACUCUGACCAGUCUAGGUACCUCAUGUGAGUGGAACCAUGCAGCAUUUUUCUUUGUGGCUGGCUUCAUUCACUUAGGAAAUGUCCUCAAGCUUCAUGCAUGUUGUAGCAUGUGAUGUGAUUCCCUUCCUUUUCAAGGCUGACUAUUCCAUUGUGUAGCUAGACCACAGUUGGGUUAUCCACUCAUCUGCUCAUGGGUGCCUGGCUUACUUCCACCUUUUAGCUAUUGUGAAUAAUGCUGCAGUGAACACGUGGGUAGAAAUAUUUCUUCAACACCCUGUUUUAGUUCUUUUGGGUAUAUACUCAGAAACGGAAUUGCUGGAUCAUAUGGUAAUUCUAUCUUUAAUUUUUUUGAAGAAUCACGAUUUUUUUUUUUUUUUUUUUUUGAGACAGACUCUCACUCUAUCACCAGGCUGGAGUGCAGUGGCACGAUCUUGGCUCACUCUGCAAGCUCCGCCUCCUGGGUUCAAGUGAUUCUCCUGCCUCAGCCUCCUGAGUAGCUGGGAUUACAGGCACCCACCACCACGCCUGGCUAAUUUUUGUAUUUUUAGUAGAGAAGGGGUUUCACCAGCCAGAUUUGAAAGAAGAAAAGUUUAAAGGGUGGCAUAGGAUAAUUAACUUAAUGUUUGGCAUAAAGCCCUGCUUUUUUGCCAUGCUGUAUUUUUUUCUCUUGCUUUUGAUCUAGAAUUACUUACCUGUGUGUUUCUCUCUGUCAGGCCCUCAUCGAAGGAGAUCCUGUAAAAGAUAGAAGACUGUGCCCUCCACAGCACUUCUGUAAUAAAAUCAAGAGGGCUAUCUCUUAUAGGUGGCGCUUUUUUUUUUUUUUUCUGUAAAGGAACCAAUAGUAAAUGUUAGGCCCUGCUGGCUUUGAGGUCUCUUGGAACUACUCACCUCUCUGCUGGCAGGAGUCAGAUUUGGCCCACAGGCCAUAGUUGGCCAACCCCUGGUCUAACCCAUUUGAAGGACAGCUUUUAAAAUACCUAGAACAGAACUUGCGAAUGGUCAGGGGCACCUGUGAGAAUCUAAUGAAACCCAGGAUCUACCCCCUACAGAAAUAUUGACAAAAUUUGGAAAAUAUCUUGGGAAGUUCUUGGACUGCUGACAAUCUAUAAGAUAUGGAUAGAGAGAGAGCCACAUCACAGAGGGCUGAGGAAAGAAGAGAGGUGGGAAGGAAGAAUGAAAUGUUUUCUUCCUUAUAUUCUGUUUAAUGAGGUAGUGUGGGGAUUAAGGAAUUUUUUUUGUUGUGGUUGUUGUACAUUUUCAUUUGUUUCCUUUUAUUAUUUUUAUGAAGGGCGAAGGGAAGGAACC
RNAcentral lists this long non-coding RNA (4060 nucleotides) under Homo sapiens (human). RNAcentral's name for it is "HSALNT0100018". The record is from RNAcentral. Lineage: Eukaryota; Metazoa; Chordata; Mammalia; Primates; Hominidae.